UUACCUCCAUAGCUCAUUAGGAACCCAACGUAACCUUAGCCUUGUCUGUGGAGCAGUUGAGUUGCUGUUCUGCUGCUUGUGAAUAAAUGCAAAUCUGCGUUCCGCUUGUCACCUGGCUCGCUGAUGCUACAACUUGACAGUCGUCUCUUCCCAUCAACCCAAGCCAACACAUGAAUUUUCAGCACACAGAGUACACCAAGGAAAACGAGUUCUCUCUCGCAACUCCCACCCCAAUCUUUCUUGGAGAAAUUCACUUAGAUGCAAAGCAGAACGGACAGCCUGGCAACGAUGCCUCAGUGGCUCGUUCGUGCUGAAGAAGAUAUGAAUGAUCCUUCAUGAUUACAUCUCAAACACAGUGAAGUGAAAUCUCGUACAGGUGAUGGUGAAGGCCAGAGUCUAAAUAAUGUGGAGCAAUUUUUACUGGAGAGAUUUGACUUCUAACUGGAAGUUUAACCUGCUUUGCUUGGACAUUAUUGCUUUGAAGCGUGUUUAUACUUCAGUUUUUCC
Molecule: long non-coding RNA, 507 nt
Organism: Lacerta agilis (Sand lizard)
Lineage: Eukaryota; Metazoa; Chordata; Lepidosauria; Squamata; Lacertidae
Exons: 3
Source: RefSeq, a predicted model, not a curated record